This 200-nucleotide unclassified non-coding RNA is filed under the name soil metagenome. RNAcentral describes it as "partial contains 5.8S ribosomal RNA, internal transcribed spacer 2, and large subunit ribosomal RNA". The record is from RNAcentral.
AACGGUCUAUACCUGCGGUACCUGCGGAGGGAUCAUUGCAGAAUUGGGGUUUGAUGGGGGUUUGGUGUUUGGGCGCUUGUUGACGGCCGUAAGGGCGUCGACAGGCAGCUGGACAACAGCAGUCCCACACGUUUGCGCUUGUAUGGGUUUGACAGAGUGAGGUGACACGAAAAAAGGACAACUUUCAGCAACGGAUCUCU